AGCGUUGAAACACCAGUUCCUGUAAAAUCACCGAAGUUAAGCAACAUCAAGCCUGGUCAGUACUUAAAUGGGUGAACGCUUGUGAAUUCCAGUUGCUGUAAG
This is a non-coding RNA of Acanthosepion pharaonis, 102 nucleotides long. The record is from the annotation of a GenBank genome assembly. Lineage: Eukaryota; Metazoa; Mollusca; Cephalopoda; Sepiida; Sepiidae.